GCGGCUGUGGCGGAAUUGGCAGACGCGCUAGACUUAGGAUCUAGUGGCCGAAGGGCCGUGGAGGUUCGAGUCCUCUCAGCCGCA
RNAcentral lists this transfer RNA (84 nucleotides) under Planctomycetota bacterium. RNAcentral describes it as "Planctomycetes bacterium (groundwater metagenome) tRNA-Leu". It matches the Rfam family "tRNA". Rfam says of the family: Transfer RNA (tRNA) molecules are approximately 80 nucleotides in length. Lineage: Bacteria; Pseudomonadati; Planctomycetota. The record is from RNAcentral.